CUUAGAACUUCACAGAUAAAAGAACUACUUGUAGUGAAACUCCUGUUUGUUCAUUAUGUUUGAGACUGAGUUGUGCUAAAAGUACUCAGAAUCUUCCUCAACUUAGGAAACUUACUUGGACAGCUGUAUUAGGGACUAUUUGUAGCUACCUGCAUUAGAGGGCCAGAAUAUGCUACAAAAGGUCAGCUAGACCAGGACUCUGGGUGCUCCUUCUGUUGUCCCAAUAGCCAGUUAGCCAGGCUGAGUGUGCCUGUGUACCCCAGAAGUCUCCGGGCAGUCGGAAGAGAACCUCCAGGAGCAUACCUGGCAUGUGAGCACAAUCACAACUGCUUCCAGAUGCUGUUUUGCAGUUGGGAAGAACAUGGGGGAAAGUGGAUGGCAUCUGCUUUCUCAAUCAACCUGAGUUGAAGCAAAUCAAAGAGAAAUCUCCUGCUAAAGAGGCAAAAGAGGCUCUAGUGGCAAAUAGGCAGCACCCUUUUUACAGCCUCUUAACCUUCCUCACAGGGGAGGGCAGUGGGGUCCCAGCUCUGAGUGACAGCUCCCCCCAAAUAUGUGGAAACAAGUGAAGAAGAAAUGAUGACCUGCACUGCGUAUGUUAUUGCUGUAUGAUUCCCAGGUGACUUCAGUCAAUAAAGUCACAGACAAAUUAAAC
Molecule: long non-coding RNA, 652 nt
Filed under: Phasianus colchicus (ring-necked pheasant)
Lineage: Eukaryota; Metazoa; Chordata; Aves; Galliformes; Phasianidae
Description: lncRNA (ENSPCLG00000000174.1)
Source: RNAcentral